CCUACGGGUGGCAGCAGUGGGGAAUAUUGGACAAUGGGGGGAACCCUGAUCCAGCCAUGCCGCGUGUGUGAAGAAGGCCCUCGGGUUGUAAAGCACUUUCAGUGAGGAAGAACGCCUGGUGGUUAAUACCCAUCAGGAAAGACAUCACUCACAGAAGAAGCACCGGCUAACUCCGUGCCAGCAGCCGCGGUAAUACGGAGGGUGCGAGCGUUAAUCGGAAUUACUGGGCGUAAAGCGCGCGUAGGUGGCUUGAUAAGCCGGUUGUGAAAGCCCCGGGCUCAACCUGGGAACGGCAUCCGGAACUGUCAAGCUAGAGUGCAGGAGAGGAAGGUAGAAUUCCCGGUGUAGCGGUGAAAUGCGUAGAGAUCGGGAGGAAUACCAGUGGCGAAGGCGGCCCUCUGGACUGACACUGACACUGAGGUGCGAAAGCGUGGGUAGCAAACAGGAUUAGAUACCCCUGUAGUC
Molecule: ribosomal RNA, 465 nt
Filed under: Vreelandella stevensii
Lineage: Bacteria; Pseudomonadati; Pseudomonadota; Gammaproteobacteria; Oceanospirillales; Halomonadaceae
Description: partial 16S ribosomal RNA
Rfam family: Bacterial small subunit ribosomal RNA
Source: RNAcentral